UACGUAGGGUGCAAGCGUUAAUCGGAAUUACUGGGCGUAAAGCGUGCGCAGGCGGCUUUGCAAGACAGAUGUGAAAUCCCCGGGCUUAACCUGGGAACUGCAUUUGUGACUGCAUGGCUAGAGUGCGGCAGAGGGGGAUGGAAUUCCGCGUGUAGCAGUGAAAUGCGUAGAUAUGCGGAGGAACACCGAUGGCGAAGGCAAUCCCCUGGGCCUGCACUGACGCUCAUGCACGAAAGCGUGGGGAGCGAUCCGG
This 253-nucleotide ribosomal RNA is filed under the name uncultured bacterium. RNAcentral's name for it is "partial 16S ribosomal RNA". It matches the Rfam family "Bacterial small subunit ribosomal RNA", at positions 524 to 776 of the family's 1533-position model. The record is from RNAcentral.